Long non-coding RNA from Physeter macrocephalus (sperm whale), 4067 nucleotides. RefSeq lists it as uncharacterized. The transcript has 3 exons. Lineage: Eukaryota; Metazoa; Chordata; Mammalia; Artiodactyla; Physeteridae. The record is from RefSeq and is a predicted model, not a curated record.
UGAGCCAUUUUGGAUUUUAAUGAGGAAAAUCCUGAUGGUUUUUUUCUCAUCCCCCUUUUGUGUGAGUGUGUUAAUUUCGAGACAUUGGUUAUCUUACAGUGUAGGCUGGUGCCGGUUCUUCCUUUCUCACAUAAAGGCUUUCAGCACAUUAAUACUGCUAAUAAUACAGUAUUAACCUUGUUCUGAGAGCAAAAAGUCUAAACUUAUUCUGUGUCACUUUUCACCGUGACUGUUAAUGUGAUCUAGAAUACAGAUCUAACGUCUAGUUCAUGCAUUUUUGUCACCAUUUUAUUUCUUAACCUAUAGAAUUUGAUAUUUCCUGAAAUGGUAUUUUCUUUCAGUUUGACUUUUUAAAAAAAGAUUAAUUAAUUAAUUUGUUUUGUUUUUUGGCCGUGUUGGGUCUUUGUUGCUGUGCGCAGGUUUUCUCUAGUUGCGGCAAGCGGGGGCUACUCUUCUUUACUGUGUGCAGACUUAUUGUCGUGGCUUCUCGUUGCAGCACGUGGGCUCAGUAGUUGUGGCUCGUGAGCUCUAGAGCGCAGGCUCAGUAGCUGUGGUGCACGGGCUUAGUUGCUCCGCAGCAUGUGGGAUCUUCCCGGACCAGGGCUCAAACCAGUGUCCCCUGCACUGGCAGGCGGAUUCUUAACCACUGCACCACCAGGGAAGCCCCAGUUUGACUUUUGAUAAGACAGUUCAGAGAAAACAAAUCUUGAUAAAGAAAUAGAAAGAAGUAGGUAACUCACGACUUCACGAGGGCCCAGGUAACCCAUAACUACCUCUUUUCUGCUUUCACAUCAACUCCUGCCAUGACGGUUAAUUGAGAAGAGCAUCCUAGAGUUUUCACUUUUGCUGCUUCUUUGUAGCAGUGUAUGAAGUCUAGUUUUCCGCAGGAUAAAUCAGUGUUGGCCUCUUGAUGCCCCUACUGUCUGUGGAGCAGUGGGGAUGCCUUUCAUUCCAGCCAUAAGAGCAUCUUCUGAUUUUCUGUGUACAUUACAUGCAUGCCCUUCCUCUCCUUCCCAUCCAUCACGGUGGAAUGCUCCAGUCGCAGACUCUGAUGAGAAGGGUCAGAUGGGACACCUGUUGGACACACUGCUUUUGUCAAACCAUAACCAGAAAGAAAAUAAUUGAAAGAAGACAGACAACAAUUCAUUACUAAUUAUACAGCAGGGCCAUCUUGGCCUCAGAGGUACAGUUCCAACUAAGUAUAUUUGGAAACUAAGUAGUAGUAAAAAAAAGUUUAUGUUUACACAUUGGACAUAGCUCAUGUGUUCUGCGAGACUUCAGAAUUAUACGCCACCAAGGAGGCACUACAGGAGACCCGAAAUAAUUUCACUUUCCAUCAUGGGUAGCUUCGCUUUCAAAAUAAAAUCUCCCUAGUCAUGAUGUCACUUAAUUACUAAUUAAAGCAAUCGUAGUCCCAUCUUGUGAUGCUCUAAAAUCGUUAUUAUUAGAACCCUAAAUCUGACAGAAUUCACUGCCUGCCUUUGGGCUGAUGGCAGAGUCCUGAAAUCAACCACCAAAUCUGUCCUCGGAGGCAAACAGAGGUCCACUAACGACAGAUCCCCUUUUUGGGGUGGCCGCUGGGGACAGGCUGAUAGGUACAACACCCCAAAACAAACACUUCCUCUCCUCCAGACCCUCCCCCAUCCUCUGACCCAUCCCUUCCCAUGGUUAGGGCAUUUUGCUGAUACAAGUAGUUUGUGGCUUGUUUACGUAUGUUUUCACUGCAGCUUUUCGGAAACUCAGAGCUAAGUGUAGCGUUCGCGGGUAAUAAUUACUUCACAACAGCUUCCUCUGCUCCUUGAAGAUGGUCUCUCUUCUGCCUUGAUAUUUAAUUCUGUGUUACAUUCCGCAAGCGCUGGGGGGCUGCCAGGGCCUGGUUAGGAAUUGGCCUUCGUGCUUGGAAAGAAGAGAAGGGAAGCAGGACAAGCUGGUGGGGGAAGGUCUAGAGGGGCGAGGGAGCUGUGCAAUGAACGCUAUUUCCAAGUCUCCCCAGGACUAUCUCCAGUUCUUCCAAUAUGCCCUCCCCGUUCCCACGGCACCCCUUCAACUCCCCUACACAACUGCCCGCGCUCCUGCCCUCCGGGAUUACAUGUGGAGACAGCUAUCACCCUCCCUGCCGAGGGGCUGUCUUUUGUCCCUGAGGAAUCCUGGCUGGGCUGGACUGGGGCUGAAACUUAAAAUAAUGUGUGGUUUCAUUAUCGAGUUCUUCAACAGUUUUAUGUGUAUUCAGAAUGCGAGAUAAGGUGAGUAAAAUAACCCCUUGGCCAUAAUUCUUCUGAAACAACUGUUUUCAAAAUAUUGUUUUACCCAGAGGGUGCCACCUUCAAAUAGUUGAAGCAACUUCUAAAAGGGCCAGGCUGUCAACCUCGAAUUUAAUGCAUGAAUUGUACUUUAACCCUGCAAACAAGAUUCCCUCAAUCGCAAUUUUUUGCUUCAUGUCUGGGUCUCUUAGCUUUUCCCAAGUGUGGUCCAGAACUACUCGCUUUAGAAUCAUCUAGAAAUCUGUGGACUUGCUCCAGAACUACUCACUUAGAAAUUCUCCUGGUAGAACCUGAGUUUAACAGGCUCCCAAAAGAUACUUAGGCAACAUAAAGUUUGAGACCCGCUACAUUAGGAGUUGGCAAACACUUUCUAAGAAGGGCUAGACAGUAACUAUUUUAGGAUUUGUGGGCCAUACGUCUCUGUGACAACUACCCAACUCUGCUACAGGCAAUGCAUAAAUGGGAUGGCCAUUGGCUGCGUUCCAAUAAAAUUUUAUUUAAAUAAAUAAGUGGUGGGGUGUGUUUGGCCCUCAGGCUGUAGUUUGCCAACCCUGGCACUAGAUAGUGAGUUUAGACAGGGGAGACUGUAUUUACCUUGUUUGCCACUGCAAGAAAUCAGCUCGGUCUGUAUCAUAAAAUAGUCACUUGGUAAACACUGAUUGAGUACAUAAAUGAAUGGAUGCUUACAAAGGACAUUGACUUUUAAGGUUAUUUUAAAAUUUACAUAGAGUAAAAUUUAUUCUUUGUUAUUGAACUCAGGUUUGGCUGCUCCGUUGCUCAAGAAUCCAAUACUAAGAGAAGAGUGUUCCCUAAAAGGAAAGAAAGCUUUAUUGAGGAAGCUGGCACUGCUGGAGAGAAGACAAGAGGCAGACGGAGGACAUGGGGAGUGGUCUGUCAUGGGAAGGUCCCACAGGGUCCCGUUCCAUUACAUUUUUGGUGUCCAGUUCUAUGGGUUUCGGCAAAUGCGUAGAGUCACGUGACCACAAUUGAAAUCAAGACUAGAUGCUGGAGGAGCCUGAAACCCAGAACUUCCAACAGAAGCAGACAAGAAAAGCCCCAAGAAAAUCCCAGUUUUACUGGCCAAAAGACCGGGAAGGGGACAUCCCCGUAGGACAGAAAGGUUUUGACAGCACCCGCGCCCCAACCCAACCCAAUGCCACGACACCUCCUCCUCGCCCCACCCCGAGCUGUUGUCAGUGCAGCCUGAGCGGAGAGCGUGGACACCCACCCUGCUCCCCAGCCCUCGGUAUAUUGAGGACCCAGAGAAGUGCCCCCUUCCCUGCUGAUUCAGUGUCAGGGAAGACAGAGAGGGGACUCUGAGCUUCCCCCCUCCCCCACUUAGAGAGCGAGGGAGACUGUCAGACGAGAGGGAGCUGAAGAAAGGGGUCCUCUCCACUUCCAUGGAAAGUCCUAGGCAAACUCCAGACCACCUAAAUCUGAAACUGACCUGAACGAACGUGCCAGGACUCAGAGCUGGACCGCAGUGUGGAAAACCAGCCGGGCUUUCAGAGUGACCUCUGAGCUGCACACAAAGUUGACAGAAUGGCACGGCGAGGGCCCCAAUCCAAAUUGUUGUUGGAACUACAGCCCACAAAGAUCAGCCAGACGCCGUGCAUCAAACUUAGACUGGGUGACUGCUGCUAAAAUAGGAGAUUCAUAAAGGAUCUGAUCACCUGAUAUACCAGCCAGAUGUCCGGGGUGCAGGAGAAAAAUCACUUGUCAGAUCAAGGGCGUCUCUGGAAUGAUGCACCCGGGGUUGUGCACUGCACAGUCUUGCAUGGUGACACAAGUGGCCCUGAGAAAGGG